CACGUAGGCACCAAGCGUUGUCCGGAUUUAUUGGGCGUAAAGAGCUCGUAGGCGGUUCGGUAAGUCGGGGGUGAAAACUUUGGGCUCAACCCAAAGCGUGCACUCGAUACUGCUGUGACUAGAGUUCGGUAGGGGAGUGGGGAAUUCCUAGUGUAGCGGUGAAAUGCGCAGAUAUUAGGAGGAACACCGGUGGCGAAGGCGCCACUCUGGGCCGAAACUGACGCUGAGGAGCGAAAGCGUGGGUAGCAAACAGG
RNAcentral lists this ribosomal RNA (254 nucleotides) under uncultured bacterium. RNAcentral describes it as "partial 16S ribosomal RNA". It matches the Rfam family "Bacterial small subunit ribosomal RNA", at positions 524 to 776 of the family's 1533-position model. The record is from RNAcentral.